CCUUGUGGCUGUCUGGGAGGUCAUUCUCCCUGGGCUUUAUGGGGGUGGUUCAGGGAAGCACAGAGCUCUGCCUGUGAUGUACAGUCCUUUUCCAUGAAGGUGGAGAUGAAGGUGGGCUGCAUAUUAUUACAGCUUCUCUGAGUCCUUUCGGACUAUGACCAAGGAGACAAAUCAGGUUGAAAACAUGU
Small nucleolar RNA from Cavia aperea (Brazilian guinea pig), 188 nucleotides. Its record names the gene SNORA73. It matches the Rfam family "Small nucleolar RNA SNORA73 family". Rfam says of the family: U17 (SNORA73A and SNORA73B) also known as E1 belongs to the H/ACA class of small nucleolar RNAs (snoRNAs). Lineage: Eukaryota; Metazoa; Chordata; Mammalia; Rodentia; Caviidae. The record is from Ensembl.